Long non-coding RNA from Gadus macrocephalus (Pacific cod), 2978 nucleotides. RefSeq lists it as uncharacterized. The record is from RefSeq and is a predicted model, not a curated record. Lineage: Eukaryota; Metazoa; Chordata; Actinopteri; Gadiformes; Gadidae. The transcript has 8 exons.
AUUAAAUCACAUUAUGCUUUAUAGAUGGCUCAACACAGGAUGGCUGUGGAGCAAUCCACCGCAGCCCUGCUAAUUGUAAUGGGUGUCAUUAUGGGUACCCUCGCUGACAUGCCACAUAUGAAUUCAACUGGAUCUCCCACAACGUUUGGAGCAUUGAAUACCACCUCAAACACUACAAACAGUCCAUCAACUCCAACCUUAGCGCCAACUUUUAAGUUGAAGGCUACAAUAUCAAAGCCUUUCACUGCAGAGUUAACAAAUCAAACAACUACAGAAUUUCAAGAUCUGGCAUCGGCUGUUGUGACAUUUUGUGAUGGGAUCUUCCUGGAGACCUAUGGGUUUAUUUUCAUCACCACUAAUGUCCUGGGAUUCAGCCCCUCCACCAAUGGAAACACUACAAUAGAGGUAGAACUUGUUUUCAAUAACAAAGCAUCACCUGAAGUGACCUUUUCAAAGGCCGAUGUACUGGAGACCAUGACGACUGCAGCAACCAACACCUCCGCUGGCGGAAUCUCCUAUGAUCCUGAAUCUGUUGUUGUCACAGGUAGGGUGACACUAUUUGAACCUAUGAUAAAAGUAACAGCACUUUGCUCAUAACAAAUAACUUGUCGCUCAAGUAUGUCGCUCUACCCUGAUUCUUGCGCUUAUGCAUGGACAAAUACAUAGUUACAAGUGACAUGUUCCUUCUAAGAAGCGCCAACUCCAACGACAGCAACAACAACAACUUCUACGGCAACUCCAGAUCCAAUAGCAGGGAGUACAUUUAGACCAAGUGAAGGAGGCUGAACAGUUUGGAGUUCGUGCUGGGCAGCUCGGCGUGCAUGAUGACUGUGACAUUCUGGAUGGAAACUUUAGUCUGGUGUUCGGCAGCCCCGAGUCCUAGCUGCUAAAUAAUACAUGGCGACGGAUGCUAGCCUCAAGCAUUUACCAGGAAAACCUCAUUGGCAUCGUCGUUGACGAGGUCCACGUUACAUACAAAAGGGGCGAGGCUUCCAAAGGCGAGUCGGCAUUCCGAGACUGUUUUGCCAAGCUCGGAGAGAUAAGAUCUAUAGCCAAGGAGGGUGAGUUGAAUGCACGGCCCUCUGUGUUGCUCAUACCUUACAUGUUGUGUAAUAUAUAUAAUUUGUAUGCUAUCUGUUGCAAGGAUUAGUUACUGUCCCUGUAAUGAAGCCGAAUUGCCAGAUUAUUUGGAUUAAGUGCAUUCAUGUGUUCAUAGUGCUGUUUAUUAAGUCCUCCAUGCCAGUCUAUUAAACAAACACGUUUUGUGGAGCACGUUAAUUGUCUUAGAACACUCCCAUUCAGAAUGCAUUGGUUUACAUUUCGUUCUGUGUAGCACGCAAAAAGUCGGACUAUCAUGCUCUGGAACAUGCUUCAAUAGAUUAACGUUCGUGCGCAGGAGCACGCAAUCGCGUGAUACCGGGUUGUAUAUAGGCUCUCUCUCAGCACCCCCCCCUCGGACUGACUUCCCGCGUCCCUGGGAAGUAACCCACAGUUCGCAGGACAUCAGCACCCCUGAUGCUGUGGUAGAGUCAAGCACUGAGGCCGAAAGGGAGGCCAGCCAACCAAGGAGAGAGAAGAUGAGCGGCCAUAGGCCUGGGGUUAGGUGGCCAGUUGCAGCAGAAGGUAGGACUUGGGAAGUUGUUAAUAGCGAUCUGGUUAGCAUUCUGGGACGGCUUAAAGGGACGGCUGAAAGCAAAUUAGAGACAAUGGGGGACAUUAUCUACAGUUACGGUAAAGAAAGAUUUAGGAUUGUUGAGAAAAGGACGAAACGGCAACAUGAGUUCAUCAAGUCUAGGCGCCAGCAAGAGAUAGAUAGACUCAUCCAGGAGAGGAGGCAGCUUAAGAAGCAGUGGAGAAAAGCCACAGAUACCGAAAAGGAAGGUAUUGAUUGUCUACAGGCAGCUGUGAGGGAGCGGUUGGCAGUGCUAAGAAGAGCAGAAAAUAUUAGGAAAAAUAGGAAGAAGAAAUCGCGAGCUAGGGUAGCAUUUUAUUAGCCUGGCGCCGCCCACCUCCCUACUUCCGCUCAAUUUUCAUUUCACUUCAGUACUAGGUCUGGGUCUGCUUAAUGUAAAUGCGUUCCAUGUAAACCAGAUUUCUGGCGGUCCAAUCAGCGAACAGAGGGAGUGGCUGAGAACGAUGACGCCUAGGUUGCGCGCCAGUUUCAGUUGUAGUCAGAGGAAGACAAUGGAGAAGGAUACGAGAGAAGCUAUUCGGUCUGUUGUGGGAUCGCUGCCGAAAAUCGAUCAAUUAAAGCCGGAGCAAGAACAAGCUUUGGUGAGUUUUGUUGGUGGCCAUGAUGUUGUGGCGCUUCCUCCACCGGGUUCGGGAAAAGUUUGAUUUUCCAGCUGGCUCCGUUAGUGGUAAAGGAGUUAGCUAAGGCGAACGCUAGCAAUGCUAACCCGAUAGUUGUUCUCGUCUCCCCUUUUGUGGCACUUAUGGAGGACCAAGUGAAGGAGGCAGAACAGUUUGGAGUUUGUGCUGGGCAGCUCGGCGUGCAUGAUGACUGUGACAUUCUGGAUGGAAACUUUAGUCUGGUGUUCGGCAGCCCCGAGUCCUGGCUGCUAAACAAUACAUGGCGACGGAUGCUAGCCUCAAGCAUUUACCAGGAAAACCUCAUUGGCAUCGUCGUUGACGAGGUCCACGUUACAUACAAAAGGGGCGAGGCUUCUAAAGGCGAGUCGGCAUUCCGAGACUGUUUUGCCAAGCUCGGAGAGAUAAGAUCUAUAGCCAAGGAGGGUACAAAUGUUUUGGCUCUGACUGCCUCCGCUGACAUCAAGUCCAGAAGCAGAGUCAGCAGACUUCUCCAUAUGGACAAUGCCGUUUCCAUCAUUGCCAGUCCCAAUAAGACAAACAUCCGUUUUGGAUUGUGCAAGGUUCCCAGUCAUCACAUGAACUGCCUGGACUGGAUUGUGCAACAUGCAAAAGACAAGGGCUCAACGAUGCAACCAAUAUUAAUUUACUGCCAAAGCCUGAAAUCA